RNAcentral lists this ribosomal RNA (483 nucleotides) under uncultured bacterium. RNAcentral's name for it is "partial 16S ribosomal RNA". It matches the Rfam family "Bacterial small subunit ribosomal RNA", at positions 28 to 507 of the family's 1533-position model. The record is from RNAcentral.
GACGAACGCUGGCGGCGUGCUUAACACAUGCAAGUCGAACGCUGAAGCUCAGCUUUUGUUGGGUGGAUGAGUGGCGAACGGGUGAGUAACACGUGAGUAACCUGCCCCCUUCUUUGGGAUAACGCCCGGAAACGGGUGCUAAUACUGGAUAUUCACUGGUCUUCGCAUGGGGGUUGGUGGAAAGGGUUUUUCUGGUGGGGGAAGGGCUCGCGGCCUAUCAGCUUGUUGGUGGGGUGAUGGCCUACCAAGGCUUUGACGGGUAGCCGGCCUGAGAGGGUGACCGGUCACAUUGGGACUGAGAUACGGCCCAGACUCCUACGGGAGGCAGCAGUGGGGAAUAUUGCACAAUGGGCGCAAGCCUGAUGCAGCGACGCCGCGUGAGGGAUGGAGGCCUUCGGGUUGUGAACCUCUUUCGCUCAUGGUCAAGCCGCAACAAUGGUUGUGGUGAGGGUAGUGGGUAAAGAAGCGCCGGCUAACUACGUG